UAAGUUACAAGCUAAUGAAUGCAAUGCGAGUCCACAGAAGUUGCCUCUCGGAAUGAUGUGAAACUUUUGCUUUAAUAUGUCCGGCCAACCUUUUACAGUCAGCGACUAAUGCUAAUCCUUUCACAACGGCAACGGUGAAAAACCCUAGUCUAUUGUUUGUCACCAACAUGCUAAAAACUAGGAAUAAAAAGUAGGUUUACAAGAAAUCAAAUGACUCUAAUGAAUCUCACAUACUUAAUCUAUUCUUUAGGUUCUCACAAGUGUUCGACUACUGGGUGAUGGUAGCUACCAGAGGCCUACCGGACAAGAUCACACUGUGUGCAUUGCCCAAACCACUGUGAGCAAAUACCUCGCUCAAUUUACCGAAGCAGUGAAUAGAGUAUUACUGCCAAAAUGGGUGUACUUUCCUGCUACUGAAGCAGAGAGGCAAGCCCUCAGUAGAGGGUUUCAGGAGAAGUUUGGUGUACCAGAUGCAAUUGGUGCGGUUGAUUGCACCCAUGUUGCAAUAUUCCCCCCGCCAGGACCUCAAAGGGUUCAAUACCGGAACAGAAAGGGAUACCAUUCCAUCAACACCCAAUUGGUUUGCGAUGCUGACUGCCGAAUUCUGCAUGCUAAUGCACGGUACCCUGGAAGGGUCCAUGACCAAUUCAUCUUUAAUCACUCAAAUCUGAGGAGAGAGAUGAGUCGACUAUACGAGGCUCGAAUUGGCUCAUAUUAUUUAUUGGGAGAUUCUGGUUAUGCCCUCGAGCCUUGGGUCAUGACUCCUAUCGUGGAUGCCCCAGAAAAUAGCCCAGCUGACCUGUACACACAGUGGCACUGCAAAGCACGCAAUUGCAUUGAGCGGACAAAUGGAUAUCUCAAGGGUACCUUCAGAUGCCUUGGACAUGACAGGGUACUUCAUUACAGCCCAGAGAAGGCCUCCGCAAUAAUAUAUACAUGUAUAACACUGUAUAAUAUUAUGAAGCAUUACAGGGUCCCAUUUGGGAAUCACGAUGAUGAAGUCAAUGAAAAUGAAGAGGGAAAUGCCGAGCCUGUAAGACCAGCUGGCGCUUUGCUGCGUGCAGGACAGCAGCGUCGAUUACAGUUAAUAAAUAAUUUCUUCACUUA
This is a long non-coding RNA of Plutella xylostella (diamondback moth), 1107 nucleotides long. RefSeq lists it as uncharacterized. Lineage: Eukaryota; Metazoa; Arthropoda; Insecta; Lepidoptera; Plutellidae. The record is from RefSeq and is a predicted model, not a curated record.